This 420-nucleotide ribosomal RNA is filed under the name uncultured bacterium. Its description in RNAcentral is "bacterial SSU rRNA". It matches the Rfam family "Bacterial small subunit ribosomal RNA", at positions 356 to 773 of the family's 1533-position model. The record is from RNAcentral.
AGGGAAUAUUGGGCAAUGGGCGAGAGCCUGACCCAGCCAUGCCGCGUGCAGGAAGAAGGCUUUCUGAGUCGUAAACUGCUUUUGACAGGGAAGAAUAAGGCCUACGUGUAGGCUGAUGACGGUACCUGCAGAAUAAGCACCGGCUAACUCCGUGCCAGCAGCCGCGGUAAUACGGAGGGUGCGAGCGUUGUCCGGAUUUAUUGGGUUUAAAGGGUGCGUAGGCGGUUCUUUAAGUCCGGGGUGAAAGCCCGCUGCUCAACAGCGGAACUGCCCUGGAUACUGGAGAACUUGAGUACAGACGAGGUUGGCGGAAUGGACCGAGUAGCGGUGAAAUGCAUAGAUACGGUCCAGAACCCCGAUUGCGAAGGCAGCUGACUAGGCUGUUACUGACGCUGAGGCACGAAAGCGUGGGGAGCGAAC